This 451-nucleotide ribosomal RNA is filed under the name uncultured bacterium. Its description in RNAcentral is "partial 16S ribosomal RNA". It matches the Rfam family "Bacterial small subunit ribosomal RNA", at positions 29 to 523 of the family's 1533-position model. The record is from RNAcentral.
AGCGAACGCUGGCGGCAGGCUUAACACAUGCAAGUCGAGCGGGCCCUUUCGGGGGUCAGCGGCAGACGGGUGAGUAACACGUGGGAACGUGCCCUUCGGUUCGGAAUAACUCAGGGAAACUUGAGCUAAUACCGGAUACGCCCUUAUGGGGAAAGGUUUACCGCCGAAGGAUCGGCCCGCGUCUGAUUAGCUAGUUGGUGGGGUAACGGCCUACCAAGGCGACGAUCAGUAGCUGGUCUGAGAGGAUGAUCAGCCACACUGGGACUGAGACACGGCCCAGACUCCUACGGGAGGCAGCAGUGGGGAAUAUUGGACAAUGGGUGCAAGCCUGAUCCAGCCAUGCCGCGUGAGUGAUGAAGGCCUUAGGGUUGUAAAGCUCUUUUGUCCGGGACGAUAAUGACGGUACCGGAAGAAUAAGCCCCGGCUAACUUCGUGCCAGCAGCCGCAGUAA